RNAcentral lists this ribosomal RNA (252 nucleotides) under uncultured bacterium. Its description in RNAcentral is "partial 16S ribosomal RNA". It matches the Rfam family "Bacterial small subunit ribosomal RNA", at positions 525 to 776 of the family's 1533-position model. The record is from RNAcentral.
ACGGAGGGUGCAAGCGUUACUCGGAAUUACUGGGCGUAAAGAGCGUGUAGGCGGGUGAAUAAGUUGGAAGUGAAAUCCUAUGGCUUAACCAUAGAACUGCUUCCAAAACUGUAUACCUAGAAUAUGGGAGAGGUAGAUGGAAUUUCUGGUGUAGGGGUAAAAUCCGUAGAUAUUAGAAGGAAUACCGAUUGCGAAGGCGAUCUACUGGAACAUAAUUGACGCUGAGACGCGAAAGCGUGGGGAGCAAACAGG